This 73-nucleotide transfer RNA is filed under the name Ovis aries (sheep). It matches the Rfam family "tRNA". From Rfam's summary of the family: Transfer RNA (tRNA) molecules are approximately 80 nucleotides in length. Their secondary structure includes four short double-helical elements and three loops (D, anti-codon, and T loops). Further hydrogen bonds mediate the characteristic L-shaped molecular structure. tRNAs have two regions of fundamental functional importance: the anti-codon, which is responsible for specific mRNA codon recognition, and the 3' end, to which the tRNAs corresponding amino acid is attached (by aminoacyl-tRNA synthetases). tRNAs cope with the degeneracy of the genetic code in two manners: having more than one tRNA (with a specific anti-codon) for a particular amino acid; and 'wobble' base-pairing, i.e. permitting non-standard base-pairing at the 3rd anti-codon position. The record is from Rfam by way of RNAcentral. Lineage: Eukaryota; Metazoa; Chordata; Mammalia; Artiodactyla; Bovidae.
UCUCUGGUGGCCCAGUGGUUAAGACUCCGCAUUACCAAUGCAGGGGGCAGAGGUUCGAUUCCUGUUCAGGGAA